This 253-nucleotide ribosomal RNA is filed under the name uncultured bacterium. RNAcentral's name for it is "partial 16S ribosomal RNA". It matches the Rfam family "Bacterial small subunit ribosomal RNA", at positions 524 to 776 of the family's 1533-position model. The record is from RNAcentral.
UACGGGUGGGGCAAGCGUUGUUCGGAAUUACUGGGCGUAAAGGGUUCGUAGGUGGCUGGCUAAGUCAGACGUGAAAUCCCUCAGCUCAACUGGGGAACUGCGUCUGAGACUGGUCAGCUUGAGUGCAGGAGAGGAACGCGGAAUUCCAGGUGUAGCGGUGAAAUGCGUAGAUAUCUGGAGGAACACCGGUGGCGAAGGCGGCAUCCUGGACCGGUAUUGACGCUGAGGCGCGAAAGCUAGGGGAGCAAACGGG